CUGGGCAGGGCAGUGGAAGCACCAUUCCUGCAGGGAUUUAAAAACCAUGUGGAUGUGGCACUUGGGGACAUGCUUUAGCAGUGGGCUUGGAAGUGCCAGGUUAAAGGUUGGAUUCAAUGAUCUUAGAGGGCUUUUCCAACCUAAACAUUUCUGUGAU
This is a long non-coding RNA of Chiroxiphia lanceolata (lance-tailed manakin), 157 nucleotides long. RefSeq lists it as uncharacterized. Lineage: Eukaryota; Metazoa; Chordata; Aves; Passeriformes; Pipridae. The transcript is spliced from 3 exons. The record is from RefSeq and is a predicted model, not a curated record.